AACGAACGCUGGCGGCGUGCCUCAUACAUGCAAGUCGUACGCGAAUCCUGCCGCAAGGCAGGGUUUGAGUGGCAAACGGGUGCGUAACACGUAGGUAAUCUUCCUUUGAGUUGGGGAUAAACCCUCGAAAGGGGGUCUAAUACCGAAUAACACUUCUGGUUGGCAUCAACCGGAAAUUAAAGAUGGCCUCUGCUUGCAAGCUAUCGCUCGGAGAUGAGCCUGCGGCCGAUAGUUAGUUGGCGGGAUAAAAGCCCACCAAGACUUCGAUCGGUAGCCGGUCUGAGAGGAUGUCCGGCCACACUGGGACUGAGAUACGGCCCAGACUCCUACGGGAGGCAGCAGUAGGGAAUAUUGCGCAAUGGGCCGCAAGGCUGACGCAGCAACGCCGCGUGGGGGAUG
This 399-nucleotide ribosomal RNA is filed under the name uncultured bacterium. RNAcentral describes it as "bacterial SSU rRNA". It matches the Rfam family "Bacterial small subunit ribosomal RNA", at positions 29 to 410 of the family's 1533-position model. The record is from RNAcentral.